RNAcentral lists this ribosomal RNA (396 nucleotides) under uncultured bacterium. RNAcentral describes it as "bacterial SSU rRNA". It matches the Rfam family "Bacterial small subunit ribosomal RNA", at positions 30 to 428 of the family's 1533-position model. The record is from RNAcentral.
AUUGAACGCUGGCGGCAGGCCUAACACAUGCAAGUCGAGCGGAUGAAAGGGGCUUGCUCCUGGAUUCAGCGGCGGACGGGUGAGUAAUGCGCAGGAAUCUACCUAGUAGUGGGGGAUAACGUUUCGAAAGGAACGCUAAUACCGCAUACGUUCUGAGGAAGAAAGCAGGGGAUCGUAAGACCUUGCGCUAUUAGAUGAGCUUGCGUCCGAUUAGCUAGUUGGUGGGGUAAAGGCCUACCAAGGCGACGAUCGGUAACUGGUCUGAGAGGAUGAUCAGUCACACUGGAACUGAGACACGGUCCAGACUCCUACGGGAGGCAGCAGUGGGGAAUAUUGGACAAUGGGGGCAACCCUGAUCCAGCCAUGCCGCGUGUGUGAAGAAGGCCUCGGUUGUAA